CCUACGGGAGGCAGCAGUGAGGAAUAUUGGUCAAUGGUCGUAAGACUGAACCAGCCAAGUAGCGUGCAGGAUGACGGCCCUAUGGGUUGUAAACUGCUUUUAUGCGGGGAUAAAAUGCGUCACGUGUGGUGUUUUGUAGGUACCGCAUGAAUAAGGACCGGCUAAUUCCGUGCCAGCAGCCGCGGUAAUACGGAAGGUCCGGGCGUUAUCCGGAUUUAUUGGGUUUAAAGGGAGCGUAGGGGGCAUGUUAAGCGUGUCGUGAAAUGCCGUGGCUCAACCAUGGCACUGCGGUGGGAACUGGCUGUCUUGAGUGCGGGGAAGGUAUGCGGAAUUCGUGGUGUAGCGGUGAAAUGCUUAGAUAUCACGAAGAACUCCGAUUGCGAAGGCAGCAUACGGGAGCGCUACUGACGCUGAAGCUCGAAGGCGUGGGUAUCGAACAGGAUUAGAUACCCCAGUAGUC
RNAcentral lists this ribosomal RNA (460 nucleotides) under uncultured bacterium. RNAcentral describes it as "partial 16S ribosomal RNA". It matches the Rfam family "Bacterial small subunit ribosomal RNA", at positions 338 to 795 of the family's 1533-position model. The record is from RNAcentral.